RNAcentral lists this ribosomal RNA (371 nucleotides) under uncultured bacterium. RNAcentral's name for it is "bacterial SSU rRNA". It matches the Rfam family "Bacterial small subunit ribosomal RNA", at positions 527 to 896 of the family's 1533-position model. The record is from RNAcentral.
AGAGGGUGCGAGCGUUGUCCGGAAUCACUGGGCGUAAAGGGCGCGUAGGUGGCCUGAUAAGUAGGGGGUGAAAUCUCGAGGCUCAACUUCGAGGCUGCCUCCUAAACUGCCAGGCUUGAGCAGAGUAGAGGCAGGUGGAAUUCCCGGUGUAGCGGUGGAAUGCGUAGAGAUCGGGAAGAACAUCGGUGGCGAAGGCGGCCUGCUGGGCUCUUGCUGACACUGAGGCGCGACAGCGUGGGGAGCAAACAGGAUUAGAUACCCUGGUAGUCCACGCCGUAAACGAUGGGUACUAGGCGCCGGGGGGAGCGACCCCUUCGGUGCCGUCGCUAACGCAAUAAGUACCCCGCCUGGGGAGUACGGCCGCAAGGCUG